CUGGAGCAGAAACACCUUCCAAGAAAUGGUUAUAAUUCCUACCAUCUGGUUAGCCAAGUUCCAUCUGGUUCUGGUGGCUUUACAGGUGGAAAACUGAUUAACAGUAUGAACAUGGAGUUUCAGAUACUGGUCAGCAGUGUCCAGCUCAAUCCGGUUCAAACGUGGCAGAUCAAGAGUCUUAUAUGAGCUCCUCUGACCCUAAUGAGUCACAGUGGCACAGUGGUUAGAGCGCAUUACUACAAGC
Thamnophis elegans (Western terrestrial garter snake) is the source of this 244-nucleotide long non-coding RNA. RefSeq lists it as uncharacterized. The record is from RefSeq and is a predicted model, not a curated record. Lineage: Eukaryota; Metazoa; Chordata; Lepidosauria; Squamata; Natricidae. The transcript has 4 exons.